This 263-nucleotide ribosomal RNA is filed under the name uncultured bacterium. Its description in RNAcentral is "partial 16S ribosomal RNA". It matches the Rfam family "Bacterial small subunit ribosomal RNA", at positions 793 to 1055 of the family's 1533-position model. The record is from RNAcentral.
GUCCACGCCGUAAACGAUGUCGAUUUGGAGGCUGUGUCCUUGAGACGUGGCUUCCGGAGCUAACGCGUUAAAUCGACCGCCUGGGGAGUACGGCCGCAAGGUCAAAACUCAAAUGAAUUGACGGGGGCCCGCACAAGCGGUGGAGCAUGUGGUUUAAUUCGAUGCAACGCGAAGAACCUUACCUGGCCUUGACAUGUCUGGAAUCCUGUAGAGAUACGGGAGUGCCUUCGGGAAUCAGAACACAGGUGCUGCAUGGCUGUCGU